AUUCUCUCUUCCUAGCUUUUUGUCUUCUUUCUUUUUUUCUUUUGAACUAAACUGGAGUACUAUUAAUAGCACUAAGUUAUUGGUGCUAUUAGAUUUUCGACCUUUGGAUUAAGAAAUGUACGGUUAGGAUGAUAAUGAUGCCCUAGGGUUCAGUGGGUGGUUGGUUAAAUAGUAUAAUCUAACGGAUGAAAAUAAUCAAAAUGAUAAAUCUAACGUCAGAAAACUUGGUAACACAAAGUGUUUAGUGCUACUGAUAGCAUUAUAGCCGGACUCUUUUCUUUUUCAAAUUCUAUCUGUUUGAAUGUGAUGGGAGACUCCAACAAAUCUCACUAGUUAUUAUUGU
This 343-nucleotide long non-coding RNA is filed under the name Ananas comosus (pineapple). RNAcentral describes it as "long non-coding RNA (ACOM_LNC020243)". The record is from RNAcentral. Lineage: Eukaryota; Viridiplantae; Streptophyta; Magnoliopsida; Poales; Bromeliaceae.